GACGAACGCUGGCGGCGUGCUUAACACAUGCAAGUCGAACGGAAAGGCCCUGCUUGCAGGGUGCUCGAGUGGCGAACGGGUGAGUAACACGUGGGUGAUCUGCCCCUUACUUUGGGAUAAGCCUGGGAAACUGGGUCUAAUACUGGAUAGGACCAUGCUGUAGGUGGUGUGGUGGAAAGAUUAGUUUCGGUAAGGGAUGAGCUCGCGGCCUAUCAGCUUGUUGGUGGGGUAAUGGCCUACCAAGGCGUCGACGGGUAGCCGGCCUGAGAGGGUGGACGGCCACAUUGGGACUGAGAUACGGCCCAGACUCCUACGGGAGGCAGCAGUGGGGAAUAUUGCACAAUGGGCGCAAGCCUGAUGCAGCGACGCCGCGUGGGGGAUGACGGCCUUCGGGUUGUAAACUCCUUUCAGCCACGACGAAGCCCUUGUGGUGACGGUAGUGGUAGAAGAAGCACCGGCUAACUACGUG
Molecule: ribosomal RNA, 469 nt
Filed under: uncultured bacterium
Lineage: Bacteria
Description: partial 16S ribosomal RNA
Rfam family: Bacterial small subunit ribosomal RNA
Source: RNAcentral